UCUUUUUUUCAACUUUUCCUUUUGUUUCCUUCUACUUUCAAGUUCCAACAAUUGUAGUUGACUGUAACAAAAGAUCAUAAUUAGUUGGAAAUUGUUAUUGUCCACGGAAUUUUCUAUUCAGCACAUACAUUCAAGGAAGAUUAUCUUCCUUCAAUUUGGUUUGUGCUCAAUGCUCUCGUUCUAUAUUUUGGCAAACCAUGCUGAUUCUUUGUUAGAAUACACUGAGGACCAAGUUUUGUUGCAAUAUCAAGAUUCUUUUAAUUGUAUCAGUCACAUUUAUAUGUAAUUUACAAAUUAGGCUGAUAUGGAC
RNAcentral lists this long non-coding RNA (310 nucleotides) under Medicago truncatula (barrel medic). Its description in RNAcentral is "long non-coding RNA (MTRU_LNC005554)". The record is from RNAcentral. Lineage: Eukaryota; Viridiplantae; Streptophyta; Magnoliopsida; Fabales; Fabaceae.